This 253-nucleotide ribosomal RNA is filed under the name uncultured bacterium. RNAcentral describes it as "partial 16S ribosomal RNA". It matches the Rfam family "Bacterial small subunit ribosomal RNA", at positions 524 to 776 of the family's 1533-position model. The record is from RNAcentral.
UACGAAGGGGGCUAGCGUUGCUCGGAAUCACUGGGCGUAAAGCGCACGUAGGCGGAUUGUUAAGUCAGGGGUGAAAUCCUGGAGCUCAACUCCAGAACUGCCUUUGAUACUGGCGAUCUCGAGUCCGGGAGAGGUGAGUGGAACUGCGAGUGUAGAGGUGAAAUUCGUAGAUAUUCGCAAGAACACCAGUGGCGAAGGCGGCUCACUGGGCCUUACCUGACGCUCAGGCGCGAAAGCUAGGGGAGCGAACUGG